GGGGGUGUUUUCAGAUUCGCCCGGCGGCAAAGAAGGUUUGGUAAGCGUGCCGCAGUGCCCACUGCGUAUCAAGGCAAAACAAAUUAAACGCUAACAAUAGCACAAGCCGUUCCUACGGAAUGGCAUACGCUGCCUAAUUUAACCGCAGCGCGCAGUCCCACGUUACGUUGUGCGGCGUGGUGAACUGUGUCAGACAGUACAACUAAGGCAACACCGUUCGGCAAAGCGGCGUAGCCCGAAAUUUAUUUGCCUUUGGCUGCGUUCGGUUGGUUUGCUUUCCACGCGCGGCGACAGUUAAAAGCAAACUUUGCACGGAGAAAGCCAAAUGGUCUUACGUCGGUACGCGGGUGCAAGUCCCGUCACCUCCACCA
This 371-nucleotide transfer-messenger RNA is filed under the name Clostridiales bacterium. It matches the Rfam family "transfer-messenger RNA". Rfam says of the family: Bacterial tmRNA, also known as 10Sa RNA or SsrA, is named for its dual tRNA and mRNA-like properties. Its role is to liberate the mRNA from a stalled ribosome. To accomplish this part of the tmRNA is used as a reading frame that ends in a translation stop signal. The record is from RNAcentral. Lineage: Bacteria; Bacillati; Bacillota; Clostridia; Eubacteriales.